AGUGAACGCUGGCGGUAGGCCUAACACAUGCCAGUCGAACGGCAGCACAGUAAGAGCUUGCUCUUACGGGUGGCGAGUGGCGGACGGGUGAGGAAUACAUCGGAAUCUACUUUUUCGUGGGGGAUAACGUAGGGAAACUUACGCUAAUACCGCAUACGACCUACGGGUGAAAGCAGGGGAUCUUCGGACCUUGCGCGAUUGAAUGAGCCGAUGUCGGAUUAGCUAGUUGGCGGGGUAAAGGCCCACCAAGGCGACGAUCCGUAGCUGGUCUGAGAGGAUGAGCAGCGACAGUGGAACUGAGACACGGUCCAGACUCCUGCGGGAGGCAGCAGUGGGGGAUGUUGGACAAUGGGCUGAAGCGUGAUCCAGCCGUAGCGAGGGGAAGAAGAAGGGCUGCGGGUUGCAAAGCCGUUCUGUUGGGAGAGAAAAAAAGCAGGGCAACUACGCGCUGGCCGGAAGGGACCCAAAGAAUAAGCACCGGCUAACGUCGUG
RNAcentral lists this ribosomal RNA (492 nucleotides) under uncultured bacterium. Its description in RNAcentral is "partial 16S ribosomal RNA". It matches the Rfam family "Bacterial small subunit ribosomal RNA", at positions 30 to 507 of the family's 1533-position model. The record is from RNAcentral.